This 168-nucleotide ribosomal RNA is filed under the name uncultured bacterium. Its description in RNAcentral is "partial 16S ribosomal RNA". It matches the Rfam family "Bacterial small subunit ribosomal RNA", at positions 338 to 521 of the family's 1533-position model. The record is from RNAcentral.
CCUACGGGGGGCAGCAGUGAGGAAUAUUGCCCAAUGGGGGAAAACCCUAAGGCAGCAAUGCCGCGUGAGUGAAGAAGGCAUUCGUGUUGUAAAGCUCUUUUCUGGGUGAAGAGAGAGGACGGUAGCUCAGGAAGAAGUCCCGGCUAACUACGUGCCAGCAGCCGCGGU